CCGGUAAAGGAUGGGGAUGCGUCUGAUUAGCUUGCCGGCGGGGUAACGGCCCACCGGGGCGACGAUCAGUAGGGGUUCUGAGAGGAAGGUCCCCCACAUUGGAACUGAGACACGGUCCAAACUCCUACGGGAGGCAGCAGUGAGGAAUAUUGGUCAAUGGGCGCGAGCCUGAACCAGCCAAGUAGCGUGCAGGACGACGGCCCUAUGGGUUGUAAACUGCUUUUAUACGGGGAUAAAGUAUGCCACGUGUGGUUUAUUGCAGGUACCGUAUGAAUAAGGACCGGCUAAUUCCGUGCCAGCAGCCGCGGUAAUACGGAAGGUCCGGGCGUUAUCCGGAUUUAUUGGGUUUAAAGGGAGCGUAGGCCGGGUUUUAAGCGUGCCGUGAAAUGUCGGGGCUCAACCUUGACACUGCGGCGCGAACUGGAGUCCUUGAGUGCGCGGAACGUAUGCGGAAUUCGUGGUGUAGCGGUGAAAUGCUU
Molecule: ribosomal RNA, 479 nt
Filed under: uncultured bacterium
Lineage: Bacteria
Description: bacterial SSU rRNA
Rfam family: Bacterial small subunit ribosomal RNA
Source: RNAcentral